Molecule: ribosomal RNA, 253 nt
Filed under: uncultured bacterium
Lineage: Bacteria
Description: partial 16S ribosomal RNA
Rfam family: Bacterial small subunit ribosomal RNA
Source: RNAcentral
UACAGAGGGUGCGAGCGUUAAUCGGAGUUACUGGGCGUAAAGGGCGCGUAGGUUGAUAUGUAAGUGAGUUGUGAAAUCCCUGGGCUUAACCUAGGAACUGCAACUUAUACUGUGUAUCUAGAGUACUGUAGAGGGUAGUGGAAUUUCCGGUGUAGCGGUGAAAUGCGUAGAGAUCGGAAGGAACACCAGUGGCGAAGGCGGCUACCUGGACAGAUACUGACACUGAGGCGCGAGAGCGUGGGUAGCAAACAGG